Molecule: long non-coding RNA, 2148 nt
Filed under: Triticum aestivum (bread wheat)
Lineage: Eukaryota; Viridiplantae; Streptophyta; Magnoliopsida; Poales; Poaceae
Description: long non-coding RNA (TAES_LNC011871)
Source: RNAcentral
CCCUCCGCGCGUGCCCUCCCUCCGCGCGUGCCACCAGCAACCACCGUCAGCUGGCUUUCUCCUGCGCAGCGGUGGUGCAUCUCCUGCUCCCAGAUCCAGGCGCGGGCCCCAACCCCUUCUACCACUGGAUCUCGGGCUCGCCGGUGGGCGACGGCGCUGCCCACCGCCCGUGGCUCAUCCCCCCAGUGCCGUCGAGGUUCAGGUCCCGUAUCGUACACCCCUCCCUCGAAUACGUCGCUCCGACCUUCUUUCAUAGAGCCAGCGGCCGCUCUGCCUUCCUACAGUUGCCCGUGCUCCUCCAUCGAUGUUCCCGCGGUCAUCCACUGCACCGCCAACAUCCUCUCUCCGGCCGACCUGCAGCUGGGGGAGGUCUCAAACUACAGCUGGAGGAGGUCUCGACCUGCAGGUACGUAUGGCUGAAAAGCUUGAACCUUACUGUGUAUACUUGGUAUUCUAUUAACAAUUGGGAUUACAAGAAUACAUGCAGUCGCAAAUUGUCAUUAAUGGUGGUGUCUUAUAUCAGGCGAGGCUUUGAGCAGCAUCUCCAUGGAUAAAUCGCCCUGACUAAAUGACCCAACCAAGUUAAUCAACAAGAAAUACGCGAGAGAGAGACAGUUUGGGUUACGUGCAGUGUACAUUAGCUCUGGCAGAGAAAAUAUAUGUUCGAAUUCUUGCACCGUUGUGCUAGCUAACACAACUUAUUAUUCAGUGAUUUGCACAAACACUUCACCUGGAGGUAUUGACUUGCAGCUUGCCGCGUCUGCCGCUGCCGCCGAGGUCCACCACAUACACUCGAUGUUGCGGCAACCACCCCCACCACUGUCCGUUGCCGAUGCGUGCAACCACGUCCAGCCACCCACUGGACGUGGGCACAGAGGCAGGGCCAUGCCGAGGGAGCUCGAGCUCAACCACCCACAGCUGGUUCCCCUGCAGGUUGUACACCCCACCAACCACACCAUCUUCUCCUCGUCUAUUCUCUUGCCUCCUUGCUUCUGUAGUUCAAGAUGAUUUAAAAAGGUUGGUAUUUUUUCUCUUUGUAAUGUUCAAAAGUUUGGUGCUGUAAUUUUUUCAGAUGUGCAAAGAUGUAAUCUCAGCAAGGUUGGACUAUGUUAAAAGAUAUUACCAACCAAGAAAAAAGAGAAAUUUGGGUCUAUGAUUUCCCACUAUAUUUGCCCCAACUUGUGUGCUGAUUUCAUUUGAAAAAUCUAGAAGUUCAAUGAUAUAAAAUAUAUAAGUUCUGACUCCACAAUAUGUAUGUUUGGAGAAUAAAAACAAUAGUUAAAUGAACCCACCUGCAGAGUAAAAAAGAAUAUGUAAAUUUGCAUUACGGAGUUACAAAAAUUCAGAGCCAAAAGCAUAUAAAAUUUCAUUGAAGGCAGUGCUAAAAACGUUCAAAAAAUUUCCCUUUGUUUCAGGUUGCAGCGGAAAAACAAAAUGCAGAAGUUCAAAGAUGAAAUUUGAAGAAGGAAAUAUGCAACAAUCAAAGAAGUGGCGGUCUCAUUACAGCGAAGAAGAACGCCUUGCGAUCCAACCGAGUUGACUCCUGCCAUCGACACUGCAUAAUUAUCACUGGAUGCCCAUGGCCACCGGCGCUGGAUAAUUAGCACUGAAUGACUUGCAAUCCGGAAGAAAGUUGCGCCCAUAACCUGUGGAGAUCUAUAACAUUGUGCAGUUGGUCGUGAUGUCUCCUGGAGCUUCAAUUUUCUUACCCUGAUGCAUUUUCUUCCUUUUUGAUGUGCCACUUGAUGCAUAAAUUAUCACUGGAUGCCCAUGGCGUGUUCACAGUAUGUGUUUGUGUUAGUACCCGACAGGUUCCAUCAUGUACUAAAUGGGGAUGGAUAGAGAGAUCCAUAAUUCAUUUGUAUAGAAGUUCAAAUUUAAACAAAAUAGAGGUCCAAUGUUUAUGAAAGCUAUUUUAGUAAUUCUUUACUAAAAGUGUACUGGCGUUGUAGGUGGCAGCCGCGACAUUUGUGUGUAGGUGAAUAAAAUGGAGAAGUUCAAGUUAAAAUAAUGGAAAACUUGUUCUUGUUCUUUACGGUAAAAAAUGUAUCAUGGUUGGUUUUCCAAACUAGUUGCUCUCUGAGGCACAUUAUGUUGCUGCUUUCCUUCUCCUUCAUGAAAUUGUUACAAAAGAAAAGAGCAUAGAAG